CCUUUUCCCUCCCGAUAGACCUGAGUGUCUGAUCCCAGAUUACCCCAACCCCUCCUAUUCCCCCAGUCAUUACCCAAACACCAGCAGCAUCUACGCUCAGCCAGGACGGUCUGAUUCAGACGCCAAGUGAACAAGAAAAAGAGGAGAAAAGGGGGACAAAAAAAAAAAAGAGGAGCUGGGUCCAAAAUCAGGAAUUGCAGCGGAUUUGUCUCUGCCCAUAAUGACUGUUUACAGUACUGGGAUUCCCAAGUAAUCUGCGUGUCAGAGGCUUGGGGAAGUGUAUUCUACCAGGU
This is a non-coding RNA of Pelobates cultripes (western spadefoot toad), 293 nucleotides long. The record is from the annotation of a GenBank genome assembly. NCBI's taxonomy places the organism in Eukaryota, Metazoa, Chordata, Amphibia, Anura, Pelobatidae.